AUGACUAAACCAAAGAAAGAUGGGGGAAUGGGGUUCAGGGAUAUAUACGGUUUUAAUAUGGCAAUGCUUUCCCGGUAGGCGUGGCGACUGUUAAUUAUCCCUGACUCCCUGUGUGCUCGCGUACUGAAGGCGCAUUACUACCCAAACUAUUCGGUCUUGGAAGCUGAGCCUCGCCCGGGUAUCUCAUACACAUGGCGCAGCAUACUGAAAGGGGUGGAGCUUCUUAAGGAAGGGCUGAUCUACAGAAUCGGUGAUGGCACUUCAGUAAAAAUUUAG
This 276-nucleotide ribosomal RNA is filed under the name Triticum aestivum (bread wheat). Its description in RNAcentral is "partial small subunit ribosomal RNA". The record is from RNAcentral. Lineage: Eukaryota; Viridiplantae; Streptophyta; Magnoliopsida; Poales; Poaceae.